GAUGAACGCUGGCGGCGUGCCUAAUACAUGCAAGUCGAGCGAACAGAUGAGGAGCUUGCUCCUCUGACGUUAGCGGCGGACGGUUGAGUAACACGUGGAUAACCUACCUAUAAGACUGGGAUAACUUCGGGAAACCGGAGCUAAUACCGGAUAAUAUAUUGAACCGCAUGGUUCAAUAGUGAAAGACGGUUUUGCUGUCACUUAUAGAUGGAUCCGCGCCGCAUUAGCUAGUUGGUAAGGUAACGGCUUACCAAGGCAACGAUGCGUAGCCGACCUGAGAGGGUGAUCGGCCACACUGGAACUGAGACACGGUCCAGACUCCUACGGGAGGCAGCAGUAGGGAAUCUUCCGCAAUGGGCGAAAGCCUGACGGAGCAACGCCGCGUGAGUGAUGAAGGUCUUCGGAUCGUAAAACUCUGUUAUUAGGGAAGAACAAAUGUGUAAGUAACUAUGCACGUCUUGACGGUACCUAAUCAGAAAGCCACGGCUAACUACGUG
RNAcentral lists this ribosomal RNA (497 nucleotides) under uncultured bacterium. Its description in RNAcentral is "partial 16S ribosomal RNA". It matches the Rfam family "Bacterial small subunit ribosomal RNA", at positions 28 to 507 of the family's 1533-position model. The record is from RNAcentral.